This is a long non-coding RNA of Oreochromis aureus, 244 nucleotides long. RefSeq lists it as uncharacterized. Lineage: Eukaryota; Metazoa; Chordata; Actinopteri; Cichliformes; Cichlidae. The record is from RefSeq and is a predicted model, not a curated record. The transcript has 3 exons.
UCUUUAUUUUGGUAUUUGGAACACUGCUGGAUGGUAAGGUGCGGUCAGCAAUAGCAUCAUGGUCACAACCCUCCAGAAGUAGGACAGGGAGCACAAGUGCUGGAAACUCAACAUCAAGUGGACUUCGAUUUUUAAGGAACUGGAGACGUGGAAGAGGUAAAGAGCCAUCAAGGAAAUUAAUCAAUUAAGGUUCCAUAUAAAAAUGAAGUGAAAGCUGUGUGUUUUUAGGUGUGCUUGUACUUUG